This 568-nucleotide ribosomal RNA is filed under the name uncultured bacterium. Its description in RNAcentral is "bacterial SSU rRNA". It matches the Rfam family "Bacterial small subunit ribosomal RNA", at positions 28 to 636 of the family's 1533-position model. The record is from RNAcentral.
GAUGAACGCUGGCGGUAUGCUUUACACAUGCAAGUCGUACGAGAGUUUUUAACUCAAGUGGCGGACGGGUGAGUAACACGUAAGAAUUUGCCUUUAGGAGGGGGAUAAUAACUGGAAACGGUUGCUAAUACCCCAUAUGCUUUCGAGUGAAAUGGAUUUUCCGCCUAGAGAGAAGCUUGCGGCUGAUUAGCUUGUUGGUAAGGUAAUGGCUUACCAAGGCGACGAUCAGUAUCUGGUUUGAGAGGAUGAUCAGACACACUGGAACUGAGACACGGUCCAGACUCCUACGGGAGGCAGCAGUGGGGAAUUUUCCGCAAUGGGCGAAAGCCUGACGGAGCAAUACCGCGUGAGGGAUGACGGCCUAUGGGUUGUAAACCUCUUUUUUCAGGGAGGAAGAAAAUGACGUGUACCUGAAGAAUAAGCAUCGGCUAACUCCGUGCCAGCAGCCGCGGUAAGACGGAGGAUGCAAGUGUUAUCCGGAAUCACUGGGCGUAAAGCGUCUGUAGGUGGUCAAAUAAGUCAACUGUUAAAUCUCGAGGCUCAACCUCGAAAUCGCAGUCGAAACUAU